AUUAUGGAGAGUUUGAUCCUGGCUCAGAAUGAACGCUGGCGGCGUGCUUAACACAUGCAAGUCGAACGAGAACGGUCCUAGCUUGCUAGGAUGUCAGCUAAGUGGCGCACGGGUGAGUAAUGUAUAGGUAAUCUGCCCCGAAGAGCGGGAUAACGUCUGGAAACGGACGCUAAUACUGCAUAUACCUUUUCCCCUCAAGGGGAAAAGGGAAAUGAAUUUCGCUUCGGGAUGAGCCUUUAUUGUAUCAGCUAGUUGGUGAGGUAAUGGCUCACCAAGGCUAUGACGGGUAGGGGAGGUGAGAGCCUGUUCCCCAACGUGGGUACUGAGAUACGGACCUGACACCUACGGGUGGCCGCAGUCGAGGAUCUGUCCUGUUUUACUCUCUGUUUUUAA
RNAcentral lists this ribosomal RNA (393 nucleotides) under Sulfurimonas sp. MAG313. RNAcentral describes it as "bacterial SSU rRNA". It matches the Rfam family "Bacterial small subunit ribosomal RNA", at positions 1 to 390 of the family's 1533-position model. Lineage: Bacteria; Pseudomonadati; Campylobacterota; Epsilonproteobacteria; Campylobacterales; Sulfurimonadaceae. The record is from RNAcentral.